UGCCAUUUGCAAUCUCAUUCUUGCCAAUAAAACCAAAAAAGGGACCUUGAUCUGCUUCUUCAAGUUUCUUCUGCUUAAAGUAUUCUUGAAGUUCCCUAGCCUUUUGCCUUUGAAACUCCAGGGUAAUGACAUUCUUAUCUUCCACAGCAGCCACAGCCACAGGUUUGGGAGGGGAAGUAGGUGUUGGCGGAGGUGAAGCAGCAGCAGGGGAAGAAGGUGGAGGGGAUGGUGGAGUUGGUUUUACAGGUGUAGGAGGAGGAGCCACUGGUCUUCUAAUAGGCCCAUCAGCCUGAGAACUCCUUAUGGUAAAUAUUGGGGGCUUAGCUGUAGAAAAUCUGAAAGAGGAAGACAAAAAUGAAGAAGAAGAUGAGGGAGAUGAUGGAGAGGAGGUAGGUGAUGAUGGGAUUCUCAGUUUGAUGCAUGGGAAGGAUGGUGAUGAUGCCACUGACAUCUUCCUGAAUUUUUGCUUUCUGUACUUCCUGUUAUCUGUGUAAAUUCUUCUAAUAUGGUUGGAGAGGAGGGGGGGAAAAGGAUUGGGUGGUGAAUCUGUGCACGUGUUAUCAGAAUCAGUGUCUGUCCUGAAGUGGAGUUUAGUUUUGUGGAUAAAAUAUGGCCAAGUUUCUUAUGGGAGAUGGUUAGUAACUUCUCGUAUUUAGACCACUGUCCACGCGAGAGAGAGGUUGGCACAAAACUUUUGACUCUACUGACAGCCAAGAAUACAACCAAUUCUUCAACAAAGGUGUUUUGGGAAAAACCUGUAGAUUACAUGGAGCAAGUUAAAAGUUAAACCCUCAAAUGUUCAUUCUGUAGAAUUCUUGCGUGCUGUUUAAAGUUCUUAUACAUUAAAUUCCUGUAAAUUGGAGUCUUUAACUCCUAUUACAUAUUAAUAGUAUGGUUGGAGAGGAGGAGGGAAAAGGAUUGGGUGGUGAAUCAGUGCAGGUGUUAUCAGAAUCAGUCUGUCCUGAAGUGGAGUUUAGUUUUGUGGAUAAGAUAUGGCCAAGUUUCUUACAAGAGAUGGUUAGUGACUUCUUGUAUUUAGUCUGUAAAGUUAACCCCUCAAAUGUUCAUUUUGUAGAAUUCUGACGUGCUGAUUAAAGUUCUUAUACAUUAAAUUCUUGUAAAUUGGAGUCUUUUAACUCUUAUUACAUAUUAGGGAUAAUUUCAGAAACCUCCCCUGAAUUUGAAAAAUUACACAUACAUCCCUUGUCAUUUAAAAUGACAAUUUUACCCUUAAUUAUUUUAAUAAAAUUCUCUUAUUUUUCCUUUUUUUAAAAAAUUUUUUGCCAAUAAAACUGUACACCCACCGCUAUUACCUCUAGAUUUCUAUUAUAACCAAAUGUCGAACUGGUGAUUUUUUUGAUGAGUUAAUUUUAUAUGUAAUCCAAUGUUUUUACUGAUUUUUGUUUUCUAUUUUUUGGUAUUAAAAUUAACAAUAAAUAAAAAAGAAAUGGCCUAAAAGCACUACUAAAUAAUGAUAAUCCUGCUACUCCAAAAAUUUAUAAACUCUAAAUGAAUUAUUUCAACAUUUUCUUUUCCAUCUUAUAAAUCUAAAUCCAUAAUAAAAUAGCAUCAACAAUAUCAUAUCAUAGUAAUAAAAUUAUUGUUAAGUUGUGUAUCAAAUAGUAGAUAUAAACAUGAAAAGUUUGGCACCUUCUUCUUAUAAUUAUGCUAAAUAAUCUUAUAAUUGUAUAGAAAAAUAAAUUAAAACUCAUUCCAUAAGGGCAUUUUUGAGUAUUCAUUUAAAAAUUUGUCCAAGUCAAUAUUGUUUUAAAGUUUUAUUAUUAAAGCUAUCAAAUCAAGAGAGGUAAAUGUAAUUUUUCAGACCUUAAAAGAGCUCAGUGAAAUUGUCAGAAACCUCAAGGGAGGUUUUUGAAAUUAUCCCUACAUAUUAAUAAAUUCUUAUAAAUUGGAGUUUUUAGCUUCAACAGUCAUCGCGAAUUUGCUUCAGGUUCAAGGUUAGAGUUUUCUUCAAACUCAAACAGGAACUAGAUAACCUAGGCUGGGAUCUUAUCGUCACAAUCCAAAUGACCCAACAAAAAGAGUUCAAUUUCUCUUUUUCCUUUCUCGUUUGGUCCCAAAACUUGCAGCAACCAGCAGCGUGAAUGACGCUAGACAACACGAAGGGAUGCUAAAAUAGAUUCAACUAUUCGCUGAAUUGACGAGUUUAUAAUCAUAAACUCCAGUCAUCCAACUUGUUUGAAGCGCAUUUGUCCAGCAAGGGCUGGAUGAUAAAAUGCUGAUUCCAACUUUGUGACAGAAAGGUCUCACUUCAGUCCCAACUCUCAACUCCCAACUGCAGCUUUCCUGCCACAAAUAAAGGGGCGUAAACUGUUUCUUGGUGAUUGGUUCCAAAAUCUACAUUCAAGCCUCAUAUCCCAUCGUUAUAAUGAAAAUUUACAGGCUACAAGCGUCAAUGGAAAAUGUAAAUCCCAGAUACUCUCGGAAGGAAGGGGGAAAAGAGAAAUAAAGGAAAAUCUGGAGGAGGAAAAAAAUUGAUAUGAACUGAAUGAUGAUGAAACAAUGGACAGGACAAUGACCUAUAUAACAUGAAUAUCAUGGAAAUGAAGAAAUUCUCGGAGACAAAAUUGAAACUACAAGAGCUUGCAUAUGGACACCACAGACCAGUUAAGCCAACUCCAGCAUGGAAUAUCAUCUCAGCACUGACCCUGUUUACUGCGCGCCUCAAAAUUUGCUUCUCAAACACUCCAUUAACAAUUGCAGCUCAAAUGACUAAGCAGCGUCUAAUGUAAUAUCUUGGCACAAAUCAGCCCAAAAUGCUUCAGAAGAAGAAGCUCGAAACUACAUUAUCAUGCAUGAACAGUUUCUUUCGCUCCCAUUGUCAAACUCAUCAUCAGAUCCACCAUCGUCGCUGCAAUUGCAUUAAAUGCAAAAUAAAAACACUGGAGAAAUCAGAUAUGCAAAAAAACAGGAGUGUUUGAUAAGGGUUCUACAUACUCUUUGAUGAGAUUUAAGACCACAAGCAUGAAAUAAGAAGAUAAUACAUCAAACAGAAUCUGCAAUCUUCAUAGCUCAUUAUCAAAAUUAUUUAACACCUGACCAGGAACAUACUUAUCCUCACAUUAUGAGCAUUUAGCUCUAUAGUAUUAUCUCAUUCCACAGUUCCUUGUUCUAUCCUACCUUUACACCUAAAUUCAGAACAUCAACUCCUCUCAACCAGAAACAAUUUGAUCUAACAUGAAUUAUGAUAAAAUGUACAACAUAAACAACAAUUCAUAAAGGCAAAGGACUACUUAUUUCUUGAGCAAAAUUUUUCAUGAUGGAUCAAUAAGAAUGGAACUAGAUAGCAACUUAACACGUAUGAGAGUCAAGCUACCAUAAGGUCUAUCCUUCCUUUUGGCAAACCUUCUACUCACUAUCUUUAGAUGCAAAAUAUGUGUAAACACAUAGUACUUAUAUGCAUUGAUAAGAAUGAAACAAUAAGCAACAUAUCAUGUUGAACAAGAAAACAGGUCAUAUGAGUGCUUCUGAGUAUACUCUGACUACUGAAAGGAUAAGAAACACAGAUAAACUCCAGAACCUAUAUAUAGGUUUAUCACUAAUCCAUUGGCUACAGAAUCACCUAUUGGGAUGCAUUGCAUUUCUUUUUGAUUUGCUGCAUGUCAUGCAUGAGUUAUUCAUAACACCAGUUUGAAGCCUUAUCUGAACUUCUAACAGAAUAUGCUUGAACAGACAUUGGAAGUAACCAUGGCAACAGACACCUCAAAUUACUGAAAUACGAAUUGCACAGCUCAUGUACAUUCUCCAACUUAGAGGACGAACCGAAUUGUAUUGCAGUUUAAAAAUCUCAUUUGGCACACCCAUGUUCAAUAGAAUUCCUAAUGAAUUUAGAAAAAAAAACUCAGCCCAAUUUGGAAAAAUUUAACGAACUAUAGCAGUGGUCAACAUUAUAUAUAUAUAUAUAUAUAUAUAUAUAUAUAUAUAUAUAUAUAUAUAUAAAAUAGGUCAACUUGUUUCUCUUCCAGUCUGUAUGGAUAAAAGAUGGUUAACAUCUAACAAAUUCCCUUAAUUCCAGGACCAUUAAUGAAGGGUUGUUACAAACUAACAACCUCAUUGUAACUUGAGAAUUAAUGUCUGCACCAGUGAUAGUUGAUAAUGCGCAGACUAGAUAAAGCAUAGACAAAAUCUUCAGAUGAACAUAAUUAUCCGACACUAUUUGUAUCUAAUACUGCUGGUUAAUUCAAGUAAUAAUACCAUUUUUAGUAGGUUUUAACAAGAUGAAACAUAGGGUCUGUAUGAAUUGGGUGUUUUCAAAUAACAAUUCCAACCACAAAUUGAAAAAACCUCCUUUAGAUUCACAGCUCAAAGUUGCAACCAGUUAAUCACAAAAGGCCUGAAUAGCAAUAAGACAAGUUUUUAGAUUCACAUCAAUUUGUUGGUACCACAAAAGCAACCUUUAAUUAGUUUUCGUAUAAGACACAGCUAAAUUUUUCAUGGAAAUGAAUUGUCAUACCUAAGCUCAAAUUCUCGAAUUUCAACUAGCUCUCCACCAGAUGUAUCUGUCCACUGAACUUUCCUCGAUUCAGUAUGAACAACAGCAUCAGUGUCCUUUCCACACAAGGCCACACUCUCAUCACUACCAUCCUCAGCAACAGGAACACUAGUUGAUGGUUUCUUCAAGCUACUUUUAAGAGCAACCUUUGGAUCAGAAUUAUGGUCAUUAGCAUACUGAAUCUGAUCCCUACACUUCUCAGUAACAGGAGGCUGUGGCAAAACUUCUUGCUGCUGUGCUGGGCCCACUUUUAAAGGGGAUGGGCUCUCAAGUCCAGCGGCAGCGCGACCAAAGCAAACAAAGGAGGCGCACCCGCGGACAAACCGAUUCUUGCCAGAAGCCAGUUGGAGAUCAGAAUCAGUAUCUUGGUCAACCAACUGGUACUGAUUCCACGGCGUCACUCUCAUGGGCUUCUCUUCGUUUUUUUGACCCAAGAAAAGAAGGGUCAGUCCCUUGCUAUACCCAGAAGCUGAAGAAGAGAAGAACCCUCCUCCUUCCACUGCCAAUAACAUCAGUUCUUUUGCUCAUCCGGGCAUCCCAAAUUCCUUUAUGUUUUCUAAAUCAGCUUUUUCACCACCCCUUCUAUUAAAGUCGCCUAAUUCAAACCAACCCUGGCGAAGCAAAAAUCCAAGAACAAAAACAGAAAAGAAAUCAGAAGCACAAAACAAAGUAAUCAAAUUUAUUUUCACCAGAAGAAAAUUCAAAACUUCUUUAAAAAAUUGGAAAUUUGCUAUAAAAAAGAUUAGGCAUUUCGCGAAACAUCAAAUUCAAAUACUUAACUUAUCUAAGAAUCUUAUCAAAUUUAGUUUGAAAAAUUCGUAAUAAUACUCCAAAAUGCAUUCUCCUCUUAUAAAACUGAAACAAUUAAUCAGAAAAGCGCCGCCAAAUCAGCAACUAAUCAACAUUUUUACAAAAAACGUAUAAUACAAACAACAAGACAUAACUCAAAGAAACUUUCAGAUUGAACCCAAAAUUUUGAACUUGAAGCUUUUAAGCUUCUUACAUGAAAUUUAAAUCCCAAAAAAAAAAAAGAGAGAAUAUUUAUAAGUUAAAAUUAUACUUAAAAGCUUAGUGGAAUUAUGAUAGUUUACCCAAUAAGUACUUUUAGCUACUUAUUAAGCAAACUAGAACCCAGAUGACACCAGAAAGGAAAUUCAUUUCAACCCAAAAAAACGAAAAAAAAAAAAAGAAAAAGAGAAGCAAAAUGAAGCAGAUUUAUAUUACUCAUCAGUGGUGAACAACUUGAGAACAGCUUAAACUAUCCUCAUGAAAUUAAAAAUUUCAUUAUAAUUUACGCACGUGUGCAAAUUUCCAGAGAGAGAUACUUACAGAUCCAAAUUAAGAUAGAUCUCCGGCGAGGCUUCUUCACCGGACCGGCGACUCCAUUUCGUCGAUCGCCUCAGCAGCUUCAGUUGCUUUUAGUAAUUCACAGGUGGAGAAGAAAAGGAAGAUAAUUAGAAAACAAAACCAAAAAAAAACAGAGGUGAGAGAAUUUAUUGGUAAUAAAAUUGUAGAUUUCAGAAGAACUGAUUGAACCCCAAAAGAAUCCAAAAUGAGAAUGAAAAGAAUUGAGAAUCGAUUAAUUGUGACUUUUUAUUUUUUUUGGGGCUGCCUAUGUAUAUAAUAUGUAAGUAUAUCCGGAGUGACGAGAGAGGAGAGAGAGAGAGAGAGAGAGUGAAUGUGGUGAAAUUCAGGAAAAUUUAUUUAUUUAUUUAACAAUUUAAUUUUUUUUUUUUAAAGAGGGAUGGAGUGUUAACUGUUAAGUUGCAAGAGGCAGGCAAGUAGUGCCCAUGUGGCGGGCCUUACCUUUUAAUAAUUUUUUAUUUUUUAUUUUACCUGAAAAUAUGUUGUAAACAUUUUUUAAGAAGAAUUGACAAUCCAAAUCGUUGCAAUACAUUUUUUUUCUAUAAAAAUUUAAAAAAAUAACAAUCCAAACAGGCAAUUUAUGAGCGGUGGAAAAAAUAUUUUGAUUCUUUAAUAUGUGAGAUUUUAUUGUUUGGAUUGUGUUUUAUUUGGAAUAUUUUUUCUGUAGCACUUUUUGUGAUGUGAUGUGUGUGAGAUAAAAAGGUAAUUGGGAAGAUAAAAAGAUGUAUUGGAAAUUGUAAUGAUGAUGUAAGCAGAUAAAAUUGGGGAAAUAAAACACAAUCCAAACAAUUGAAAGAUUAUGGUAAUAUCAAGUCAAAUUCUAAUCUUGGGUUUAAGGAUUUUUUUUUCUUUUUUUUUUUUGUGUAGCCUUGUUUGGAUUGCAAUUUUUUUAUGAAAAAAUUUUUACAUUUUCUGUGAACAUAUUUUUCAAUCACCUUUUUAUCUCACAUAUAUUAAAUCGUUACAAUACCUUUUUUUUAUAUAAAAACUCCUAAAAAUAGCAAUCCACGUGGGGAUUAAGUGGAAAAGUUUUAAGCACGUUGUAAGAUAGACAAGUUACAUGCAAGACGCUUUACUUAGCAUUUGAGUACAGAUAUACAAAGGGGAAAAAAGGUGUAGAAAUUUGAUAAAAUUUGGUUGCAAAACUAAUGUGUUGUGAUUUAUGAAGUUGGUAAAACUAUAUUGAAGAAGAAGAGAACAGGUGAAAAACUUUGGCCAAUACACAUUUGAAGGUUGAUAUUCUAUUCUAGUAAAUCUUUUGCACCUCUCAUAUUGGUAGCUGGUUUGAAAUCCCAAUAAUCUGCCCCCUCCCCAAAUAAUCGAAGAUAUUGAUUUUAGAUUUGGGUGUUGAUUUAUUAGGCAUGGAAAGAUGAUGUUGUUCUUCUUUCUCUUGGAUUAGAAUUAAAAUCAUGUUGUUAUACACACACAUAUAUAUAUAUAAAAGCUAGAAUUCGGACCGUCGUGUAUAAAAUUUCAAAUCAAAAUAGUAAAAUUAUUGUUGUUGAAGAAAAAAAUUUAUUUGAAAAGAAAAGGCUAAAAAAUUUUUUAAAAAAAAUUGCAUCAAUUUUAGUGUCAAUCUCUGUGAAAUUGUGUAAUUUUAAAUGAAAGUAAAGGACAAAUCACGUUGUCGUGCUAUUGUUUAAGGUCUUAAUUAGUUCCAACUUCCAAUUAAGACGAGACAUGAGAAUAGGGGGUUUACCUUACUCCCCCCAUUCUUUAUAUGAGCUUACGUUUACCUUUUGGAAAAGCAAGGCAUCAAUAGGUGUAUAAUCAUAAUUAAAGUGGAAAGCUUGCUUUUGUUUGCUUGCCUAUGCCUACUUUUUACUUUAGAGAAGCAUUACGCUUUAACACUCUCAACUUUUUGUCAUUCAUCUACAUGUAUCAAUGUGCCUAACCAAUGGCAAUCAAUAGUAAUAGUGUAAUCUAAUUCCCAAGCACCAAUAAUCCAAACCCAAAUCCUCAAAUGCAAAAACAGCUGUAAGAAAAACAAGAAAAUGGACAGAUGUAAUUGCCAACAAAGAUUUAGAGAAGUAGUGGAGAGAAGAAACUUGAUUUUGACAUCCUCAUUUUGUCAAAAUUGCCCCAAUUAUUUGGCUUUUAGAUAUUUUGGUGUUAGUUUGGCAAUUUGGGAUUUACCUGAUCAUUCGUUCCUUUUUUAUCUUAUUGCAACUCUUAAAAGCUCAUAUGUCAAAUCAAAGAUAAAAUAUCAAUUCUUAAACGGAACUUGUCAAGGUUUGCGAGGAUUGAAGUUCUUUAGGGUUACCUAAUCAUCUUGAUCUUUUGAUUUGCAACUCUACAUUAUUGCAAGGCAAUAUAUAAGGGUAAAAAAAAAGGGUAAUAUAUGAGACCAAUUGUUAAAGAGCAAAUAAUAAUAUUUUCACUCCCAAAAAAAAAAAAAAAAACUCUAAGUGCUCCAAUCUUCUUUUUCACUUAAUGAAAAAACACAAAAACAUACCAAAUAAUAAUAAUCAAUUAUUUUUUAGGGUGUUUUUGAAAAAUUUUACUGUAGCAGAGUUUUUAGAGUAUAUUUUAAGAUAUUUUUAGAAAAUAUUUUGGAAUAUUUAAGAGUAGUAGAGUUUUUAAAAUAUAUUUUGGGAUAUUUUUUAAACAUUAAAAAAAUUUAGACUACUUUUUAGAGUAUUUUUUACAGUACUUUUUAAAAAAAAUUUAUAGUAUUUAAAAAACUAAUUUUUGAAAAACUGAAGGAUCCAAACAGAUAGUAUUUGAUUAGAUCAUUGAAUCAUUUAUUUCUCUUGCUUUUCUUGAAAGUUCUUCAAUAGACAUUUCUACACUUACUCAUGAUUCAACAGUUUAGUACGUACCGGCCCUUCUUGUGCCUUGUUGGUAUUAGCAUGUGUUGCAGACCGUAAGGUCAAGAGUUCGAGGGUUGGUAGAGAGAGGAAGAGAGAAGAAAAAUAAUGAGAAAAAAAAAACAGUUUAGUACGUAACUCGUUCUAAUUGUCCUUCUAUACGUGUAGUAUAUUACAAAAUGGGAUUCCAUAAAAAAAAAUAAAAAUAAAGGGUCCAUUGUCUUCUUGUUCUUGGCAAAAGCUUAUGUAAAAAUAAAUUGUCCAAAACGUGGCUAACAAAGCAAGUACAGGAUUCUCUCACGUGGGUUUAGUUGGAUUCUCAAGUCAUUUAAUUUUAAAUAUUUCUAAAUCUGAUUUUGUUGUGCAUGGAAAUAUGCCCUUAAAUAAUUAGAUACCUAUAACGCAUAGAAUUUGACAUUCUUUUUAUGAUUAGCAUCAAUUCUCCUAGAUGCAUAAAGGAGAUGCAUAAAGGAGAAAAAAGAAUGACAAAUAUUUAAUAUUUUCAAUUAUCCUAAUAUUAUUUUUCCCCUACAAAUUGGAUGAGGAACCAAGAAGACUUUGGGGAAAUUGCUCUUUCAGUCCCUUGUACUUGAAACAUAUCACAGUAUAGUACCUCACUUAUUUCACAUAUUUAGACCUCAUUGGGAGUUUCGGUGGCCUAUAGAGAAGCAUAUUUGACGCAAGUGCUUUUAAGUUAUUAAAAUUCAGACCCCUUAAGUUACGAAAAUUAUUUGCCAAACACCCUAAACAUAUUUUUAGAACUUAGAGCUUCUUUUAUAUAUAUAUAUAUAUAUAUAUCUUAAUUAUUCAAGAGCUGGACUUAAUCCUUCUCAAAAUCAUUACUGAUUUGGGUAUUGUGGCGUUUAUACAACGAUAUAAAGCUCUGUCUCUUUCUAUAGGUCUCAUCCAAUCAAGAAACAGGCUAUCAAGAAACAGUCAAUGGCUGCUAUCCAAUCAAUGGUUUGUUUGGAUUGAGACUUAGUUGUCAAAAACUAUAUGCUUGCAUCAUACAAAAGUUCUCUUAUUACCUUUUUAUCAUUCUUUUUUUUUUUUUACCCCACUUACAUUUUAUCACAAGAAGUACUAUAAUAAAAUGUUAUGCUCAAAAUUUUUUUUUAAAUAAUCAUCUAUCCAAAACUAUAUCCAGCUAGCCUACUUCUGUACACAAGUUUUUGUGGGACAUAAGUAUUUAUGGCAGCCUUGAUGAUCGAGCACUUUAGUUAAACCUUUCAUUAGGAAUGACUAAUUACAAUUUAGCACGUAACAAACUCUUAGAAAUACACAAGUAUUUGUGGGAUAUAAGUUUCUAUGGGAGCCUGUCUAGAUGAUUGAUCACUUUAGUUAAUUAAACCCUUUCAUUAGGAAUGACUAAUUACUAUUAGGCAUUUUAACAAACUCGUCUGACACCUAAAUUAUCGACUACGCCACGGUGAAACUUUAGCUGUAUCAUGUCAUAAUAAUGAUCAAUUUCUUAAGACACCGUAUGGAAAGAAAAAUUAAAAGUCAAUCCAAACAAGAAAAAUUGAAUCCCUCCAAUUCUUCUCAUUUCCUUUUCCUCUCAUUCCUUCAAUCCAACGGUGCCUAAGUGAAGCAACACAUGAAGGAUUUAGGUAUAACUAAAAGCAGUUAAGCUUUGAAAAUAUUUUAGGACUGAAAACGUUGCUUAUAAAUUCUACGUGCGGGUUCCCUAUGCUGCUCAUCAGACAAGAAACACUUAGCAGUACAAAAACCAAACUUCGUUCUACUUCUGCAGCGUUCGUUGAAAAUGGUUUCCAACAUCAAUGCUUCGUUUUCUCUCCUACUUUUGACCAUUUUCUUCCUUGCUUUAGUCAUGGGAAAUUCUCCCCCUGACAAUCCAAAUCCAGCACCCGCGCCAAGCUCCAACACUCCAGCACCCGGACUUUCACCAGCUCCUUCAGGAUGUACCUGCCCAUUGGAUCGCCCAACACUGGUUGCCUGUUCAAUUUUUCUUGGUAGUCUGGGUACUGGAAUGCCUUGGAUCACACCAACCAUCUGUUGCAGAGGAUUACGACGUCUAAAUGCGACAGAUGUUUCUUCUUGUCUUUGCUAUGCGAUCAAGUCUGGUGUCACCGGGCAACCCAUAGUUAAUCUUACCCUCAAAGAAGCCAUCCAAAUGGUGUCAUUCGGAUGCAGGUUUUAAUUAGGACUCUUUCGCUGUGCUAAGCAGCUAGUAUUUAAGGGUAGAUUUCUAAAUAAGAUGCAUUGGAAGAUUAUACCAUACGUGCUUUGCUACUUAAGUACGCACGUUUAAGGGCUCUUCCAUUAAGCUAAACAUGAGCUAUAGCACUUAUAUAUGGAUGGAUUUCUAAUUAAGUACGAUUUCAUAUUUCUAAAUAAGAAUGUAUUGGAAGAUUAUAUUAUUCGUGCUUUAUUUCUUUUUUCAGCUCUAUGUUGUGUUAUGCCAAGAUUUCGUACUCAAUGCUGUCAUAUUUUGUUUGACUGGAAAAUUUUAAGAUUUGCUGAAUCAGGAUCAGGCUUCGUUUAUAAUAACCCUAAUAUCGAUGACCAGGAGUAGGGCAGCAACAGUCCUUUUAAGGUCAAGGGCAAGGAUUGGCCAAAAAAAAAAAAAAAAAGGCUAAGAUUACAUCAUGUACAAGUUAUGUUAUAUGUGGAAGCCACUAAAAUUUGCUCAAAAUAAUUUAUUUUUUGAAGAAAUAAAUGUACAUUUUAUUAAAAUAGAGAAAACUGUUGCAGGAUGAUUGAAUUAAUAACCGUCCUAGUUUUGUGUUCUCAAUCACCACUGGUAGUUCGACUGCACUAUAUAUGAAAAAUUUUUGUUAGAGUAUUGUACACCGAAAUAAUUACCCCCCCUCUAAUAUUGGUUCCUAGCACCACGACUGACUCAUGUUUAAGAGUAAAUUAGCUCAAGUAGACAUACUUACUGAAUCUAAAAGCACAUAGUGAACAUUUGGGCUUUAAUUCAUGAUUAAAUUUUAGAAUUUUUUAAGUGGUGAAUGGUGAAAUGCGAGACAAUAUUGAAAUUUUAUCAGUAGAAAAAAAAAUACCAUUAAACCUUUAAACUAAAUAGUUUGUUGGAUGACUUGUUAUUUGUAAAAAAAAAAAUUAUUUGAUUGUAUUAUAAACACUUUUUGUAACUAUUUUUUAUUUUUCAAAUCACCUCUUUAUCUAACAUACAUUAUAUCACAAAAAGUACUAUAAUAUUUUUCAAAAAAUUAUCCUAAAUAAUCCCCCGUCAAAAACACUCAUUUCCAUUUUUCGUGUGUUGAUGGUGAACUUUUCACCACCUGCAAAUAGUCGAAUGCAUAAUGAUGUAGUAAUAUGAAAUUAUAGUUUGCUAGAAAAAGUUUUGAGAUAGGAUUCAUUUAAGCAUACAGUAAACUAAAUAAGUUACAUGCAAGACCUUUUACGUAGCAUUUGGUAUCGCUAUUAAAAACAAAGAAGUAUGGAAAUUCGAUCCUUUUGUAAAGAAAGAAAACAGACUUACAGGUUAGCAAUUUACUAAACAUACUUCAUUUCUUGUACUUCUCGAUUGUUUAAAAUACUGAUAAUCCCCGACUCAGAAAUCCGGAUAGUUCCCUGCUCUUAUUUAGGAUAUAUUGAUUUUGGAACGUCUCAUAUGUUUAUUUUGGGCAUUGUUUUACCAGAUAAGGAAUGGUGCUGUUUUUUGUAGAACCCAAAAAUAUAUAGGAGAUAUAUUACAUAAAAUUAAUGUAUAUGGGGAUGCAAUUUACACACAUAAUAAUAUAUGUGGGAGAAGAGAAAUAAUACCAACAAUAAUUUAUUAAUCACAUAAUAAAAAUAAGACUCUUAAUUAUUCAUUCUUCUUAACUAAAUACAAUAAUAUGACUCUCUAUUUAUCAACUAGAUGACUUGAUAAAUAAGUCUUACAGCUAUAAGAAAUUUCUUAAUAAGAUACUAAUUCCUUAACAAUAAAAAUACCAUAACUUAACUCCAAUAUAAUUACUAAAAUCCUAACUUGACUAAAUUAAUACUACUAAAUAAUAAAAUGAAAAUUUCUAAUUUUGAGUUUUGAUUUAAUAUGCCAACAUUUUUGGUUCACUGGGAUCAAAAUCAUAAUCAAUGUUAUUUUUUUUAUUUAAGGCCUUAAUUUUUGGAAAAGCAAGUGCCAAUGGGCAAUUAAUUAGACUGGAAAUUUCGCUUUAGUUUGUUCACUUUCCUAUGGCUGCUUUUACUUUGAAUAUGUAAAAUAAUCCCAAUUCAAUUGACCAAAACCCUCUAAAUUAACUAAUAAAGAUUUUAGAACUGUCCACUCAACACUAUUUUAGCAUCAGCCUCUGAAUCAUUACCCAUCCACACAUGACAUAUGGCUCAAACCAUCAUAAAAUUCUGCCAUGCCAUUGCCCUUUUCUUUGCUCAUUUAACAUUAAAGUAUUUAACAACACUCAAUCAGAUUCUUUAAAACUUUGUUUGGAUUGAGGAAUUUGAUGAAAAAUUUAAAAUUCAUCCAAAUCACUCUAAUUGUUUAGAAUGUUUAAGAGACAUUUAGAUUUGUAAUUCACUAAUUAUUUGGAUAUAUUUUAAAUAUUAGAAUAAUAGGUGAUUUAUAAAUUUAAAUACCUCUUAAAUAAUUUACAUAACUGAAAAGAUUCAGAGAAUUUCGAAUCAUUUGUCAUUGGAUUUGGUUGUUUAGUUUUACCAGUUGAGUCCUAGAAUUUGGUUCAAACCACACGCAAAUAUAGUCCAAAAUUCGCUAAACAAUCAUUAAAACUUGGUCAUCUGUUAAAUAACAAAGAUUAUAAAGAAGCAGAGAACAAAAAUUUGGCACCCUCAUUUUGUGGAAAUUGCUUAAAACAUCUGGCAUUCGGAAAAUAGUUUGGCAACUUAGGACUACCUAAUCAUUUUGUCACCUAGAUUUUUCAACUUUUCAUUAUUUGAAGUACUUAGUAUGUUUGAUGAAACUCUUAUAAGCUCAUAUGUCAAAAAUCAACAAUUGAAACAUCAAUUCUAAUGAAACACGAAACGUAUCAAAAGCUUGCGAGCAUUGAAGUUCUUUAGGGUUACGUAAUCAUCUAGAUCUUUUGAUUUGGAACGUUUAAUUAAUUGAAGCUAGUAUAUAAGACAAAUUGCUAAAGUCAAAUCAAUGACUAGAACUUCAUUUCUGUGGAAAACAAAAAUGAAAUUCUUCAAUUUUAGGCGGCUUGGAGUUUUGCUCUACUGCCAGAAAACUCUAACGCAUAUAAACUAGCAUUUUUUAGGAUAGGAUUUAAGAAAUGGAGAGAAUAAAGGAGGAUCUGAACUUAUUUAAAAUCUCUAUUCUCAACAUUAUUCAUUAAAUCAAGAUCUCUUUUCGUCCAAAUAAACUAACUUCUUAUGACAGAUCGAUUGCUAAUUAUAUUUCUUAUAUUUGAGCAAGCAAAUAAAUUAAUCUUUCCUACAUUAUCAGCGUUAGAUGAUUGACAACUACGCAAAAUUUGAAUUUGAAAAUCAACUUUUGCACAUAUGUCAUGAAUCCAACGAUGAUAGUGUAUACACCGUCAGUGUAGAAAAGAUUUACUCAUAAAUUAAUCCACUAAAAAAAAAAGAAAGAGAACGUAAAUUGAACAUAUAGUUGCUAUUCUUUUUAUUUAUUUUAUUUUACUUCACCUUUUUUUUUUCUUUUAUACUUCAAAAAGAAAAAAACAUGUACAUGAGAAGAAGAUUUCAUGUUACUUUUGGAUAUGAACUAGCACGAUGAGGGUUUACGUUUGGAACUCCGAAUCAUUUCAGAGAUGAUAAAAUGGUCCACUUAGGACUGCUUCAUGAUGAGUAGGGAGGGACUUUCAUUCUAAAUCUGCUUUUGUUAUGCAAUGGCAUUAUGUAGUUGUAAUGAUUAAAUGCGUAUAACGCAUGAAACAUGACUCUAUUUAUCAUUCGUACCAAUUGUUUGUCCUAGCUAGAUGCAAACCCAAGAAAGGAGGAUGACAAAAUUUGAUUUUUUUUUUUCAAUUAUGAUACAACUAUUUUUUAACCUUCAAUUUGUUUCUGGUAGGCUUUACAACUAUUUUUUAACCUUCAAUUAAGAUAGUCAUUGAGAUUUUAUGUUGAGUUUUUCGUGCAUUUAUCAACUAAUAGUUGUCAAUUUUACAUAACUGAUCAAACUAACAAAAAUUCCAUAUGUUAGAAACCAAAGCUGAAAUUCUUUAAACUAAAUAGUUUGAGACUUCCAUGACUAGUUUUCUAGCAUGAGUUUUCUUUUCCCUAAUCAUAAUCAGACCAACUGUAAUUGAUGUCACUUCAUGAUGACCAUUCUGGUUCAUUUUUCUUAAUUUUUUUUUUAAAUGGGUCUAUAGUCUAGGCACCAUGCCCCUUGCCUUUCCAGGUCAUGAUGGAAAUAUAUGCAAAAAGUUUAGGUCAACGACAAGAGGGGAAAAAAAAAAAGGGAAACAAAGAAUUGAUGCUCUUUUCUAUUAUAUUUCUCAUGGCUAAUGGAGCUUUCAUUUUAUGAGUCAAAGCGCAAAGCUCUCCUGUUUUCAACAGAUGACUCUGC
This 15154-nucleotide long non-coding RNA is filed under the name Coffea arabica (coffee). Its description in RNAcentral is "long non-coding RNA (CARA_LNC006970)". Lineage: Eukaryota; Viridiplantae; Streptophyta; Magnoliopsida; Gentianales; Rubiaceae. The record is from RNAcentral.